Molecule: ribosomal RNA, 404 nt
Filed under: uncultured bacterium
Lineage: Bacteria
Description: partial 16S ribosomal RNA
Rfam family: Bacterial small subunit ribosomal RNA
Source: RNAcentral
GAUGAACGCUGACAGAAUGCUUAACACAUGCAAGUCAACUGUGGCGGACGGGUGAGUAACGCGUAAAGAACUUGCCUCACAGAUAGGGACAACAUUUGGAAACGAAUGCUAAUACCUGAAACUGUGAGAGAGCUUUGCGUCCCAUUAGCUAGUUGGGGAGGUAACGGCUCAGCAAGGCGAUGAUGGGUAGCCGGCCUGAGAGGGUGAGCGGCCACAAGGGGACUGGGGCACGAGCCUUACUCCGACGGGAGGCAGCGGGGGGGAAUAGUGGACAAUGGACCGAAGUCUGAUCCAGCAAUUCGGUGUGCACGAUGAAGUUUUCGGAAUGUAAAGUGCUUUCAGUUGGGAAGCGGUACCGACAGAAGAAGUGACGGCUAAAUACGUGCCAGCAGCCGCGGUAAUAC